CUCUACAGCCAUACCACCCUGAACGCGCCCGAUCUUGUCGGAUCUCAGCAGCUAAGCAGGGUUUGGCCUGGUUAGUACUUAGAUGGGAGAGCAGAAUGGCUGGCUAGUAAACU
RNAcentral lists this ribosomal RNA (113 nucleotides) under Microtus ochrogaster (prairie vole). The record is from RNAcentral. Lineage: Eukaryota; Metazoa; Chordata; Mammalia; Rodentia; Cricetidae.